UAUAGCGGCCAAAGCGGCGGGGAAACACCUGUACCCAUUCCGAACACAGAAGUUAAGCCUGUCAACGUUUUACAUUGUACUAAGAUGUGCGAACUCUCGGGAACUGUAGAAAGUCGCUAUGC
This 122-nucleotide ribosomal RNA is filed under the name Candidatus Methanoperedens nitratireducens. Lineage: Archaea; Methanobacteriati; Methanobacteriota; Methanomicrobia; Methanosarcinales; Candidatus Methanoperedentaceae. The record is from RNAcentral. RNAcentral also lists the same sequence under 2 other names.